CUUAUGUCUCCUCUGUUCUCACUAAAUGUUAAGUGUCCCUGGGCCUAUUUCUUUGCUAUCUGCUCUUCCUCUAGCUGACCAACGUCUCAAAUGUUACUCAUGUGCUCAUAACUGAAUCUAAUUAGUGUUUCC
This is a long non-coding RNA of Sapajus apella (tufted capuchin), 132 nucleotides long. RefSeq lists it as uncharacterized. Lineage: Eukaryota; Metazoa; Chordata; Mammalia; Primates; Cebidae. The transcript has 3 exons. The record is from RefSeq and is a predicted model, not a curated record.